RNAcentral lists this ribosomal RNA (468 nucleotides) under uncultured bacterium. RNAcentral describes it as "partial 16S ribosomal RNA". It matches the Rfam family "Bacterial small subunit ribosomal RNA", at positions 28 to 507 of the family's 1533-position model. The record is from RNAcentral.
GACGAACGCUGGCGGCGUGCUUAACACAUGCAAGUCGAACGGAAAGGCCCUGCUUUUGUGGGGUGCUCGAGUGGCGAACGGGUGAGUAACACGUGAGUAACCUGCCCUUGACUUUGGGAUAACUCCAGGAAACUGGGGCUAAUACCGGAUAGGAGCUCCUGCUGCAUGGUGGGGGUUGGAAAGUUUCGGCGGUUGGGGAUGGACUCGCGGCUUAUCAGCUUGUUGGUGGGGUAGUGGCUUACCAAGGCGUUGACGGGUAGCCGGCCUGAGAGGGUGAACGGCCACAUUGGGACUGAGAUACGGCCCAGACUCCUACGGGAGGCAGCAGUGGGGAAUAUUGCACAAUGGGCGGAAGCCUGAUGCAGCAACGCCGCGUGCGGGAUGACGGCCUUCGGGUUGUAAACCGCUUUCGCCUGUGACGAAGCGUGAGUGACGGUAAUGGGUAAAGAAGCACCGGCUAACUACGUG